RNAcentral lists this small RNA (416 nucleotides) under Pan troglodytes (chimpanzee). Its description in RNAcentral is "retained intron". The record is from RNAcentral. Lineage: Eukaryota; Metazoa; Chordata; Mammalia; Primates; Hominidae.
AAUAGAAAGUUUCUUCCUUGGGCAAGGGGUAGGGAGAAGGAAUGUUUCUCUAAGAUAGAAAGAUCUACAAAAUCACUUCUUUAUAGACCAAGAGUAUGUCUCAGAGCCAUCAUCUUUAAGCCUUGGAAUUUUAAGAUGCAUAUUCCCUUCUCGUCGUAGAUCUCCUCGAUUAUACCACAAAAUGGCUAACCAAAGCAGCCACAGACAUCACUACACUAUGUCCGAGUUCUCCUGACUCACCUAGCUCCUCCUGCAGCAUGGCGUGUUCACUUCCAAGCGGGGCAGGUAACAAUUCAGAGCCCCCCAGUCCAACAAUGGUGCUAUACCAAGGCUACCUCAACCUCCUCCUCUGGGAUCUUGAAAACGUAGAAUUCCCAGAGACUCUGCUGAUGGACAGAAUCCGGCUCCAGGAACUG